GUUCCUGCAGUGGUCACUAGGAAGAAGAUGUACAGUUGAAGCCUGUCGAUCACCAUGGCCACGUACUUCCAGUCCUCCCGGAUCUAGAACACACGUAAGGGUUUUAGGUCAGUAAUACCAAGAGCUGACAGACAUCCUCCGAUUUGCAGACUGACGAACAAAGGAAUCACCACGACAGGAAGUGACGUGGAGUCCGGCAACCACACUCCCCACGAGAAAAACACGCGGAAUCAUCAAGCAGCGAGUUUUAACUUCCCUGAAGCGUCCAGAAAGACUCCGGAGCUCACCCAGAAUCAUGCCCAAAGAAUAUCAGAAACACCUACCUGGGGGUAAAGCGGCUGAAGCGUGAAGAUGAUCACUCACCUCCAUCUCGUGACAAAAUUAAGAAUAUGUGGAGAUAUACCUGCGCCCCACCAUACGUCUUCAUCGCAUUAAUGCAUAAGUACAGGGCUCUAAUAUUUUACUACAGUCCUCAUGGCGGUUAGUGUUCUGAUUGUGUUUUCUGGAUUGGGACUCCGUGGAGUCUUGGAGUUGGAUGCCACCAUCUAGGCGCAACUUGCUGCCUCAGUCUUCAGUGCUGACCCUGACUGCAGUGCCAGAAUAUCCCCCCAAAACCCCGAGGACAUCAGUGUAAAGUUCGUGGGUCCUUGAGCUGCGGUCCGCUACGUCACACUGUACCAAGUUCUGAAGCGCCAAAGAGACAACAAUCGUGCACAGCACGGUGUCUGCUGUGGUCUAUCCCACAGCCAAUUGCUUGUAGUCCUGUGCAAGCAUUCUUCUUUUCAUAAAGAUUUCAGCCGUUGCCUAAUGUGAGGACGCGCUGCAGUCUCUUGUUCAACCGUUCAUGAGCGCUACUUGCAUUCUACUGUAUUGAAGGAAAAGUCGAUUUCUAAUAAUGUGCUCUUUAUAUUUUAAUUUGGAACCCUUGGGGCUUUUCAACUGCGGUCCGAUCAAUGGGACUUCUCUCCGGGCGGUAGUCAUUGAAUCGGUAACCUGCCACUGAGAGACAGACCAGCUCCACCCUCCGGUUUACACUUCUAGCAAACAAGAGAGGCUUUAGCGGCGUUACAUCUUAGCUCUUCACUGCUGUCGUAACAAGUCCUUCAGAGAAAUUAACCCAUUACAACCCACAGGAAGCGGCUCGUGAGCACGGUCAACGUGCAACAAUGGAAAAAUUGUCUCAAUGGACGAAUGCUAUUGCGCAUUGCUAGGGAAUAGUGCACCGAUGAAGACGCUGGGUAGGAAUCACGCGACAUGUUCUCUGUAUGGUCCUCCUUAUGCAACAAUUGAAGAGUGUUUUCUGUGCGUGGUCCGUACGAAGACUAUAAAACGAGAAUAGCACAAGCAGUUCAUUUCAGUUCUCGGCAGCAGACAGCCACGGAAAGUUCAUAGAAGACCUGUGAAAACUUAACGUGUGAAUUGAACACUUUGUGUGUUAUAAUUAGAGUGAUCUUGAAAGUGUUACAAUUAUUUGUAGUUACAACCAGUGAAGAUCCAAUA
Molecule: long non-coding RNA, 1500 nt
Organism: Cryptotermes secundus
Lineage: Eukaryota; Metazoa; Arthropoda; Insecta; Blattodea; Kalotermitidae
Exons: 8
Source: RefSeq, a predicted model, not a curated record